GGCUUGAAGCGGAGAUCCAACAGUAUAGGACUGUUGAAAAAAUAUUUCGACAUUCAUUUCAUAAUAAAUUUAAAAUAAAAUACAAGUUGACGAACUGAGAUCAAAAUCAGCUCAAAUAAAAUUCAGACAAAAAAUAUAUGCAUAUAGGAGUAGCUAGUAUGGCCCAUGGGCGGUGGAGGGACCACGGGCCAGCAUAGGCCGACGGCGGCAC
RNAcentral lists this long non-coding RNA (211 nucleotides) under Elaeis guineensis (African oil palm). RNAcentral describes it as "long non-coding RNA (EGUI_LNC010837)". The record is from RNAcentral. Lineage: Eukaryota; Viridiplantae; Streptophyta; Magnoliopsida; Arecales; Arecaceae.